UGGACUGCAGCUUACACCAUUAGCUCUCCUUAUUCUUAGGCCUUUGGAUUGGGACUGAUAUUGUACCAUUAUAGAGACAGUCCAGACUAAUGCAUAGCCCCAAAGCAGCCACAGAUAAUAUGUAAACAAUUGGAUGUGGCUGUGUCCCAAUAAAGCUUAAUUCACAAAAGCAGAUGACAGGAUAAAUGUGGCCUGCAGAAGAUAGUUUGUUGACCCUUGGACUAGUCUGAUCAUUGGCUUAAGCAAAGCUUAAAACUUGAUUGUAACCAAAGAUAAAUGUAAUUUUGUAUUACAGAAGAUUGAAUGUUGAUUCAUACUUAAUAGCCAGAUUAACUUGUUAACAACUUCAUGGCUGAAAUUUCCAAUAAACAUUAAAAAAGUCCUUCAAAUACACAUGUAAAUAAAAGUGUAAUUAGUAACAUGGCAUAAAGAAUGACUACCAGAUUGAGGGGACGGAGGUGGGGGGCUGUCAGGGAACC
This 479-nucleotide long non-coding RNA is filed under the name Pan troglodytes (chimpanzee). Its description in RNAcentral is "long non-coding RNA NONPTRT009126". The record is from RNAcentral. Lineage: Eukaryota; Metazoa; Chordata; Mammalia; Primates; Hominidae.